GUCAUAUGCUUGUCUCAAAGAUUAAGCCAUGCAUGUCUCAGUACAAGCCAAAUUAAGGUGAAACCGCGAAAGGCUCAUUAAAUCAGUUAUGGUUCCUUAGAUCGUACCCACAAUUACUUGGAUAACUGUGGUAAUUCUAGAGCUAAUACAUGCAAACAGAGCUCCGACCGGAGACGGAAGGAGUGCUUUUAUUAGAUCAAAACCAAUCGGUGGCGGGUUCGCGCUCGUUAUCGUACAACUUGGUGACUCUGAAUAACUUUACGCUGAUCGCACGGUCAUCGCACCGGCGACGCAUCUUUCAAAUGUCUGCCUUAUCAACUGUCGAUGGUAGGUUCUGCGCCUACCAUGGUUGUAACGGGUAACGGGGAAUCAGGGUUCGAUUCCGGAGAGGGAGCCUGAGAAACGGCUACCACAUCCAAGGAAGGCAGCAGGCGCGCAAAUUACCCACUCCCGGCACGGGGAGGUAGUGACGAAAAAUAACGAUACGGGACUCAUCCGAGGCCCCGUAAUCGGAAUGAGUACACUCUAAACCCUUUAACGAGGAUCAAUUGGAGGGCAAGUCUGGUGCCAGCAGCCGCGGUAAUUCCAGCUCCAAUAGCGUAUAUUAAAG
RNAcentral lists this ribosomal RNA (610 nucleotides) under Trigonopterus sp. 573 AR-2022a. RNAcentral describes it as "SSU rRNA". It matches the Rfam family "Eukaryotic small subunit ribosomal RNA", at positions 23 to 609 of the family's 1831-position model. Lineage: Eukaryota; Metazoa; Arthropoda; Insecta; Coleoptera; Curculionidae. The record is from RNAcentral.